CCUACGGGAGGCAGCAGUAGGGAAUAUUGGGCAAUGGAGGCAACUCUGACCCAGCCAUGCCGCGUGCAGGAAGAAGGCCCUCUGGGUUGUAAACUGCUUUUGAACGGGAAGAAAAGCCCAUGCGUGGGUCUAUGACGGUACCGUUAGAAUAAGCCACGGCUAACUACGUGCCAGCAGCCGCGGUAAUACGUAGGUGGCAAGCGUUGUCCGGAUUUAUUGGGUUUAAAGGGUGCGUAGGCGGCCCUGUAAGUCAGUGGUGAAAUAUCGCAGCUCAACUGUGAGGGUGCCAUUGAUACUGCAGGGCUUGAGUGGAGUCGGGGUGGCCGGAAUUUACGGUGUAGCGGUGAAAUGCAUAGAUACCGUAAAGAACACCGAUAGCGAAGGCAGGCCACUGGGCUCCAACUGACGCUGAGGCACGAAAGCGUGGGGAUCAAACAGGAUUAGAUACCCUGGUAGUCCACGCCGUAAACGAUGUUCACUCGGUGUCGGCACACAAGUGCCGGUGCCUUAGGGAAACCGUUAAGUGAACCACCUGGGAGUACGCCGGCAACGGUGAAACUUAAAGGAAUUGACGGCGUGAGAGNGCGACGACGACGACGAGGAGGAGG
RNAcentral lists this ribosomal RNA (608 nucleotides) under uncultured bacterium. RNAcentral describes it as "bacterial SSU rRNA". It matches the Rfam family "Bacterial small subunit ribosomal RNA", at positions 338 to 956 of the family's 1533-position model. The record is from RNAcentral.